This 394-nucleotide ribosomal RNA is filed under the name uncultured bacterium. RNAcentral's name for it is "bacterial SSU rRNA". It matches the Rfam family "Bacterial small subunit ribosomal RNA", at positions 29 to 420 of the family's 1533-position model. The record is from RNAcentral.
AUUGAACGCUGGCGGCAUGCCUAACACAUGCAAGUCGAACGGCAGCACAGCAGUAGCAAUACUGUGGAUGGCGAGUGGCGGACGGGUGAGGAAUACGUCGGAAUCUGCCCAGUCGUGGGGGAUAACUAGCCGAAAGGUUAGCUAAUACCGCAUACGACCGAGAGGUGAAAGCGGGGACCGCAAGGCCUCGCGCGAUUGGAUGAGCCGACGUCGGAUUAGCUAGUUGGCGGGUAAAGGCCCACCAAGGCGACGAUCCGUAGCUGGUCUGAGAGGAUGAUCAGCCACACUGGAACUGAGACACGGUCCAGACUCCUACGGGAGGCAGCAGUGGGGAAUAUUGGACAAUGGGCGCAAGCCUGAUCCAGCAAUGCCGCGUGUGUGAAGAAGGCCUCGG